RNAcentral lists this ribosomal RNA (548 nucleotides) under uncultured Glomeromycotina. RNAcentral's name for it is "SSU rRNA". It matches the Rfam family "Eukaryotic small subunit ribosomal RNA", at positions 548 to 1098 of the family's 1831-position model. Lineage: Eukaryota; Fungi; Glomeromycota. The record is from RNAcentral.
UUGGAGGGCAAGUCUGGUGCCAGCAGCCGCGGUAAUUCCAGCUCCAAUAGCGUAUAUUAAAGUUGUUGCAGUUAAAAAGCUCGUAGUUGAAUUUCGGGGUUAGUAGGUUGGUCAUGCCUCUGGUAUGUACUGGUCUCACCGAUUCCUCCUUCCUGAUGAACCUUAAUGCUAUUAAUUUGGUGUUUUGGGGAAUUUGGACUGUUACUUUGAAAAAAUUAGAGUGUUUAAAGCAAGCUAACGCUUGAAUACAUUAGCAUGGAAUAAUGAAAUAGGACGUUCGAUCCUAUUUUGUUGGUUUCUAGGAUUGACGUAAUGAUAAAUAGGGAUAGUUGGGGGCAUUAGUAUUCAAUUGUCAGAGGUGAAAUUCUUGGAUUUAUUGAAGACUAACUACUGCGAAAGCAUUUGCCAAGGAUGUUUUCAUUAAUCAAGAACGAAAGUUAGGGGAUCGAAGACGAUCAGAUACCGUCGUAGUCUUAACCAUAAACUAUGCCGACUAGGGAUCGGAUGAUGUUAAUUUUUUAAUGACUCAUUCGGCGCCUUACGGAAAC